GCCUGCCGACCCGGGUCCGGGGGCCCAGUUGGCGCCCGGACCAGCUCUCCGGUCUGCGUCCUGUAGAUGGGAAAACUGAGGCCUGAGAGGGCGCGAGGGCGGGGACGAGGCCGAGGACUCGGGUUCGAAUCUCGAGGACGCCAGUAGCCCGCUCUGAGGCCGCGUGGGGCUGGUGGAGGAGCCACCGGUCGGGCCCCCAAGACCGGCUGACGUGGGCCUCGCCUCGGGCGACUCCCGCCGGGCUAGUGGCUGGCCGUGUGGUGACCUUGGGCGAGUUACUUCGCACAGCCACCCAGGGGCCUCUUCUCCAACACGAUAGCACUGCACCCGGAGGGCCUUCAGACCUGAGCUGAAAUCUACACCACCGGCUCUCUGACUAUCAGGCUUUGGACUAUACUUUGGGCUUUCCUGGGUCUCUUACCUGGCAGACAGCAGAUUUUGGAACUUUUCAGCCUCCAUAAUCAUCAACUCUGUGAGGGAUUGUUAUCUCCAUUUUAUGGAUGAGGAAGCUGACUCUGAGAGAUGACUUUCCAAAUUCAUCCAACUGGAAGAAAAAGGAAGUCUCUGGGGACUUGAAUCCAGAACUGUCCAGCUCCAAGUCCAGGGCUCACUCUAUUAAGCCACUCCAUGAGGAAUGAGUCCCUAAGGAGGCCACAGAAGGCCCUAAGCCCUCUUUUGUUCUCUGGAAGAGAGUGCCAUUUCUUGGCCCUUCCCAAGGCCUUGACAACUGAAGUUCCCAGAAGAACCACAAAGCAUAAAUUUCCCCAAAAGGGGAAUUUUGUUGAUGGCUUUAGUCUAUUCCCUCCUAAAAGACCAGCUACAACCAAAUGAAGUGAACAUAACCUCAAGGGUGUAUUGUCUUCAUAAUAAAAGAUGAAGCUUAGAACUGGA
RNAcentral lists this long non-coding RNA (891 nucleotides) under Homo sapiens (human). RNAcentral's name for it is "PREDICTED lncRNA (TCONS_00003340)". Lineage: Eukaryota; Metazoa; Chordata; Mammalia; Primates; Hominidae. The record is from RNAcentral.